UACGUAGGUGGCAAGCGUUGUCCGGAAUUAUUGGGCGUAAAGCGCGCGCAGGCGGUCCUUUAAGUCUGAUGUGAAAGCCCACGGCUCAACCGUGGAAGGUCAUUGGAGACUGGAGGACUUGAGUACAGAAGAGGAAAGCGGAAUUCCACGUGUAGCGGUGAAAUGCGUAGAGAUGUGGAGGAACACCAGUGGCGAAGGCGGCUUUCUGGUCUGUAACUGACGCUGAGGCGCGAAAGCGUGGGGAGCGAACAGG
RNAcentral lists this ribosomal RNA (253 nucleotides) under uncultured bacterium. RNAcentral's name for it is "partial 16S ribosomal RNA". It matches the Rfam family "Bacterial small subunit ribosomal RNA", at positions 524 to 776 of the family's 1533-position model. The record is from RNAcentral.